Molecule: unclassified non-coding RNA, 317 nt
Filed under: fungal sp.
Lineage: Eukaryota; Fungi
Description: partial internal transcribed spacer region
Rfam family: Eukaryotic small subunit ribosomal RNA (bases 1-45)
Source: RNAcentral
AGUCGUAACAAGGUUUCCGUAGGUGAACCUGCGGAAGGAUCAUUGUAGAGUUCCUUUUCGAACCGUUGUGAAAUUGUGCUAAUACUCGACGAGUACCACGUGUUUGUGCUGUUAGUGCAUGCGUUGUCUUGGCGGGUUCCCUUUUGCUGCCUUCGUGUUGCUUUAUUUUAAGUGUAACGAAGAGCAGAAAUAAGACACCGGCACAGUUUGUGCCAAGGACUGUUAUUGUUGGAGUGCAUUGCCAUUGUUUUGAUGUGCUUUGUGCUAUUCUAGCGAGCGUCUGAAUGACUCCUGGCAAUGGAUAUCUUGGCUCUCGU